Podarcis lilfordi (Lilford's wall lizard) is the source of this 72-nucleotide non-coding RNA. The record is from the annotation of a GenBank genome assembly. NCBI's taxonomy places the organism in Eukaryota, Metazoa, Chordata, Lepidosauria, Squamata, Lacertidae.
GGAGCCAUAGCUUAGUGGCCAAACAUCUGCCUUGCAAGCAGAAGAUCCCAGGUUCAAUCCCUGGCAUCUUCA